AGUCGGGCCUGCCCAGUGAUAGAUAUUUAACGGCCGCGGUACUCUGACCGUGCGAAGGUAGCAUAAUCAUUUGCCUUAUAAUUAAGGGCUUGUAUGAAUGGUCUGACAAGAGCAUCGCUGUCUCCUUAAAAAUUUAUAAAAUUUGGUUUUUAGGUGAAGAAACCUAAAUAUAAUUGAAAGACAAGAAGACCCUAUCGAGCUUUAAAAAAAUAAAUUAAAAAAUAUAAAUAUAAAAAUUAAUUUUAAUUUAAAAUUUUGGUUGGGGCGACUGAGGAACAUGCAAAGCUUCUUUUAUUAAAAAAUGCAUAUAGGCUAUGAUCCAAAAAAUUUGAUUAAAAAAAUUAGUUACCGUAGGGAUAACAGCAUAAUUUUUUUUAAGAGUUCUUAUCGAAAAAAAGGUUUGUGACCUCGAUGUUGGACUAGGAUAUCCUAAUAGAUGCAGAAGUCUUUAAAGGUUGGUCUGUUCGACCACUAAUAUCCUACGUGAU
This 488-nucleotide ribosomal RNA is filed under the name Blanfordia japonica bensoni. Its description in RNAcentral is "partial 16S ribosomal RNA". It matches the Rfam family "Bacterial large subunit ribosomal RNA", at positions 1851 to 2604 of the family's 2925-position model. The record is from RNAcentral. Lineage: Eukaryota; Metazoa; Mollusca; Gastropoda; Littorinimorpha; Pomatiopsidae.